RNAcentral lists this long non-coding RNA (855 nucleotides) under Phasianus colchicus (ring-necked pheasant). Its description in RNAcentral is "lncRNA (ENSPCLG00000017688.1)". Lineage: Eukaryota; Metazoa; Chordata; Aves; Galliformes; Phasianidae. The record is from RNAcentral.
UGUGUCCGUUUUUAAGGGGUCUGCGGGGAUUUGGGAUUUGUGUCCGCUGUGUUUUUAUGGGGUCUGCGGGGUUCGGGAUUUGGGAUUUGUGUCCGCUGUGUUUAUGAGUGGGGUGGGCGUGGCUUCGGGAGGGGCGGGGCUACGAAAGCGGAGUGGGCGUGGCUUCAGUAGAGGCGGUUUUAUGAAUGGGGGGCUGGGCUUCAGGUGGGGCCGGUUUAUGAAUGGGGUGGGCGUGGCUUCAGGGGGCCAGUUCUAUGGGGCAGGGAGGUGCGGUGCCCAUCUAUGGGGCAGGGAUGGGGACAGGGAGGUGCUGUGGCAAUUCAGUGGGGCAGGGAGGUGCCCAUUCUAUGGGGCAGGGAGGUGCCCAUCUAUGGGGCAGGGAUGGGGAAAGGGACACACUGUGCCCAUCUAUGGGGCAGGGAGGUGCUGUGCCCAUCUAUGGGGCAGGGAGGUGCUGUGCCCAUCUAUGGGGCGGGGAGGUGCCCAUCUAUGGGGCAGGGAGGUGCCCAUCUAUGGGGCAGGGAGGUGUGGUGCCCAUCUAUGGGGCAGGGAGGUGUGGUGCCCAUCUAUGGGGCAGGGAGGUGUGGUGCCCAUCUAUGGGGCAGGGAGGUGCCCAUCUAUGGGGCAGGGAGGUGCCGUGCCCAUCUAUGGGGCAGGGAGGUGCUGUACCCAUCUAUGGGGCAGGGAGGUGCCGACUUUCUCUCCCCCCACUGCGCAGGACUGCGGACGCAGAGCUGUUCGUCAACACCAACCGAGCGGCCGGGGGGGAGGAAGAGGAGGAGGAGGAGGAAGAGGAGGAAGAACAGGAAGAAGAGGAAGAGGAGGAAGAAGAGGAGGAGGAAGAAGAGGAAGAAG